This 229-nucleotide ribosomal RNA is filed under the name uncultured bacterium. Its description in RNAcentral is "partial 16S ribosomal RNA". It matches the Rfam family "Bacterial small subunit ribosomal RNA", at positions 568 to 796 of the family's 1533-position model. The record is from RNAcentral.
UCCGUAGGCGGGCGAUUAAGUCAGAGGUGAAAUCCCACAGCUCAACUGUGGAACUGCCUUUGAUACUGAUUGUCUUGAGUUAUAGUGAAGUAGAUAGAAUGUGUAGUGUAGCGGUGAAAUGCAUAGAUAUUACACAGAAUACCGAUUGCGAAGGCAGUCUACUAACUGUAUACUGACGCUAAUGGACGAAAGCGUGGGGAGCGAACAGGAUUAGAUACCCUGGUAGUCC